RNAcentral lists this ribosomal RNA (168 nucleotides) under Ditopella sp. LAC-2008. RNAcentral's name for it is "5.8S ribosomal RNA". It matches the Rfam family "5.8S ribosomal RNA". Rfam says of the family: 5.8S ribosomal RNA (5.8S rRNA) is a component of the large subunit of the eukaryotic ribosome. The record is from RNAcentral. Lineage: Eukaryota; Fungi; Ascomycota; Sordariomycetes; Diaporthales; Gnomoniaceae.
AAAUAAAUCAAAACUUUCAACAACGGAUCUCUUGGUUCUGGCAUCGAUGAAGAACGCAGCGAAAUGCGAUAAGUAAUGUGAAUUGCAGAAUUCAGUGAAUCAUCGAAUCUUUGAACGCACAUUGCGCCCGGUGGUAUUCCACCGGGCAUGCCUGUUCGAGCGUCAUUU